This is a long non-coding RNA of Gigantopelta aegis, 1764 nucleotides long. RefSeq lists it as uncharacterized. NCBI's taxonomy places the organism in Eukaryota, Metazoa, Mollusca, Gastropoda, Neomphalida, Peltospiridae. The record is from RefSeq and is a predicted model, not a curated record. The transcript has 3 exons.
UGAAUAAGGAACGAGGAACGAGGAAUAAGUAACCAACUUCACAGAGCUAUGACGGCGUCCACCUGCAGCACCAGGCAAAAACGUUUGUCUUUGAUCGAAGAUAUUGAAGUAAUAUCGAAAGAACUGUUUGAAGCAAUGAGCUCAACGAAAGGUCAUCUGAGAUCUUACACCUGAGAUGCAGUGUCAUUGAUGGAGUUGCUCAAAGAAAAAGACAAUGAAAGAAACUGACUCUAAAACUUGAUCCUCAAUCCGGGGCUUGCACAAACUUAAUCGAGAACACCUGGUGGUGUGUCAAGCGUCAGCUACCUAGAACCCACACAAGACGGACUUCUUUCGACCUGCACUUCACAGAGUACAUGUAUAUCGGUGUUUGAGGAAGAAAGAAGAAAACCUGUUUGAGACGUUUCUGGCCGACAUCCAAUUCAGUUAGAAGACAUGAUAAAAGCAGAAAAGUUUAAAACUGUAAUCAUUAUGGUGUUCUAGGAUUUAGAUUCUGUCUAACUAUGCAAUAUUCCAACUCUUUUACCAAAGGCUAUCUAUGGUGUGUAAUAUCCAGCCUGUGACUGGUAUAUUUAAUCAACACCUUAUUAUACCACCACCUCGCCACCCUCUGUGCUGUUUUAGUCAUGGCUACUUUAGGUUGUUUUUAUUUUAUUUGUUGGUGUCCAUUUGAUUUCUGUGACUGUUUUAACUAAACACACUUGGGCACAUUAUCCUUUGAGUCAUCCUGAAGGUAUCCUCCCAUUUCUUAUACCUCCCAUUUCCUACACACCUUAUAACAACAUAGGUCAUGGUUGAGUGAACUGCUAAUCCUGUACCUUCUACCUAGUAUGCAAUAAUGGACUCACCUUCUAUUAACAAUUAAGACACAAGAACAGAAUAUAUAUUCACAUUUAUUUAUUAUAAAUUAUCUAUUUACUAUUUGAUAAUAGAGAAUCUGUGCAUGUAGCUGAUGUACUGUAAACUGGAAUAAUAUUGUUCAUGGCUUCAGUUGUUAACAAUUAAGACCGUUUAUGAAGUGAAACAAUACGCUUGGAUUUUUCAGUUUAAACACGUUAUUUUCCUGAUUUACAGUAUGCAUAUCAAUUUACAAAUGCAUACAUGUAUUAUGUGUGUAACAAAUGGGAUACAUGCAUCCUGAAAGUUUGCGUGUUUGCUUGUUUAAUCAAUUUUUAUUGCUGUGGCAGUCUGAGGUCAUAAAACCGGAGCCAAUUUGGCAAGUAUUCAUUGUGUGAACAGGGCUCUCGAACUUAAGAAUUUGUCUCCCACAGCAAAUUUUAAAAGAAUAGCCAUGGGUGAAACGGCUUACCGACAGCAAUUUUGAGUCUGCCUAUGGCAAUUAUUUUUAAAAGUGACAUUUGCAGUAUGGUAAAUAAACGUUUCAAACAUGCAAAUGUUAAUAUUGGUAGGUGUAUACAUUUUGCCAUUGUUCAGGAGCUUUACCGAUGGCACAGAAGUGCAGUCAGUGAUGCUCUCUACUUAGGGCAAUUUAUAUCUCAAUGGUAGCAUUUGCCGUCCAUAUAGUACGUAUGCAAAAAACCUAAAUAUUUUGUACCCCUUCUGCCCCCUGUACGCAUGGCAUAUGCAGUGGACAAGACCACCGCCCCCCCCACCCCAUGUAUGAAUACACAUCCAAAAGCAAUGAAAUUGUGAACUUCUUUUGUUUAAUUAUAAAUGUUUUUAUUAUUAUUAAUGAGGUUUGGCAUGUGUUGAUUUAGAACAUGAAAUGUGAUACCCAAAACAAAAGUUACUUAUUAUAUUACA